Macaca mulatta (Rhesus monkey) is the source of this 1744-nucleotide non-coding RNA. NCBI's taxonomy places the organism in Eukaryota, Metazoa, Chordata, Mammalia, Primates, Cercopithecidae. The record is from RefSeq and is a predicted model, not a curated record.
ACACACACCAUGCACACAUGCACAUGUAUGCACAGGCACACACACUUACCACAUACACACACACCAUGCAUAAUGCACAUCACCCAUACGUAUGCAUGUGCACACAUGUGCACACAUGCACACACAGGCAGACACACCCCAUAAAUAUGCACAUGUAUGCACACAUGCUCAUAUAGGCACACACACACCAUGCACUCACAAACAAGCUACACUUUGUUGCGCUGAUUCUUUUACAGCUUUCUCAAAUGUUUCUGUAGAUGUUGGUGCAUUUGAAUAUGUUACCACAUCUUCAAUUAAUUUUAAUAAUAUACACUUUUCGAAAAUUACCUUCUUCAACUACAUUUUCAAACUCUUUUAACUUACAAUGGUAAGAAUUGUUCUCUUCAAAUUCUGGUUUAUCCAAGGCUAGUCUUAUGAGGAGCAUUCGUGUUUUCUUACAUUUCUCCUUGGUUAACGAGUUAGAUUAUCCAUUCUAUUUUUCUAGAGUCAGCUCUCAGGCUUCAUUUAUCAAUUCACUUGUUUCCAUUUUCAAAUUCAUUAUUUCUGCUGUUAUCUGUAGUCCUUACUUCUGCUUUCCUUGGGUUUGUUUGUCUUUUAUUUCAAGUGAUUUCUUAAUUUCCUUUGACAGUUUUAAAACUGCGGAAUUAUUUUCUCAGUAUAGUCCAAGCUAUAUCCAAUAAGCUCUAGCAUGUAACUUUUUCUUUUUUGUUCUUUUCGAAAUACUGUGUCACUGCUGACUUGGUUUUUCUCUUUUAUCCAUGAGAUGACUGUUUUAAGUUCCCAGGAAGUGGGUCUUCUGGUUCCAGUUUAUUCCUGAAUUGUUAUUUUGACUGUCGUUACACUGUAGUUAGGAGAUGUGACCUCUACAAUCUCCAGCAUUUAGAAUGUAUUGCGGAUCCAGGGUCACAGGAAGUAAGGUGGGCUCUGUCGCAAGGAUGGUUAAAACAUAGACUUCCACGUCAGUCUUCCAUUAUUUGCAUACUCGAGACCCUGAUGUGCUGGCUGAUUUGCCAGGAAACCCCCGCAGCAGACUGCGUCCGCAGGGCAAGGCUGAGUAGCAGGGGCAGCACCUCUCAUAGGAGCAGGGCCGCCUGCCCAGCCUUAAGGAAGGGGACCCAGACAUUGCCUUUCUCAAUACUGCGCCCCUGAACAGGAUUUCUGGUGGUCUGGGGUCUGGGGCUAGGCUAUCUGGACCGUCAAACUCUUCCCACUGCGUCCUCAGCCCCACUCGGAAAGAAAGGGGAGAAAUGAGGGCUUUGCUUUAAAGAGUUCAACGGUCAGAAUGUGUCCCCAGCAAACUGACACGCUGGAAUCCUCAUCCCCAAGUGAGGGCGGGGUCUCACAUUAGCGGUGAUGAGGUCACAGAGGCAGAAACCUCACAAUAGGAUGGGGCCCCUUAUCAAAGAGGCCUGAGAGACGACACCUACCAGCUGGAAGGCGGCUCCGCACCAGACACCGAAGCUGCUGGGCCUUCGACCUCGGACCUCCAUCAUCCAGAACUGUGAGCAACACAUUCCUGAUGUUCCUGAGCCACCCCGGAACGGUAUUUUGUUACGGUAGCCCAAGUGGACCAAGAUAGGAGCUAAAGGUGCUUGUGAGGUUCCACGCAUCAUACUAGAGGUGUGAACACUGCACCCAAGGGUGCCUUGGAUCAUCCCUGAGAUGCAGGCUCUGCACCAGCAGGUGUCUUGGAUCAUUCCUGAGGUCACGCUGAAUCAAGAGAUGGGCUCCCAUGGCCUUGGAC